Long non-coding RNA from Homo sapiens (human), 9333 nucleotides. RefSeq lists it as uncharacterized. The transcript is spliced from 4 exons. The record is from RefSeq and is a predicted model, not a curated record. Lineage: Eukaryota; Metazoa; Chordata; Mammalia; Primates; Hominidae.
CUCUGAUCUCCUCUCCUCGGGGCCCCGCCCCUCUGAUUCCAGUCUCCUCGGCGCCCCGCCCCUCUGGAUCUCCGUCUCCUCGGCGCCCCACCCCUCUGAUCUCGGUCUCCUCGGCGCCCCACCCCUCUGGAGUUCCGUCUCCUCGGGGCCCCGCCCCUCUGGAUCUCGUCUCCUCGGCGCCCCGCCCCUCUGAUCUCGGUCUCCUCGGCGCCCCGCCCCUCUGGAUCCCCGUCUCCUCGGCGCCCCGCCCCUCUGGAUCUCCGUCUCCUCGGGGCCCCGCCCCUCUGGAUCUCCGUCUCCUCGGGGCUCCGCCCCUCUGAUCUCCUGCACGCACCCGGCCUCGCCUGAAAAGCCCCACGUACAGCAAAGCGGCCGUGUCUUGGUGGCCUCUGCCUGGGGCGCUAUGGGUGGCCUGUCUAUGCCUCAGUUUCCCCAUUCUUGAUGAGAGGGAGCUGGGGUCGCUACUGGUCACUCGGGCCCCAGGCAGACCAAGGCUCACUUCUGUCCACUCCCUGGCCCCAUUCCCAGGAAUCCCACCGGUUCCUGGCCGGGGUCUGGAAUCUGUUCUCCCAGUCCAGGACCUACCCUCCCCUCCACUUCCUGCCUGCAAGCUCUGUGGUCCUUCCUUGUCUUGAGUCCAGGGUUCCCUGUGCUCCCAGUCCAGCCUCCCUACUCAGGGCCGAGGGCACCAGGAGGAUGGUCGUUGCAAAAGAAUAUGGGAGGCCGGGUGCGGCGGCUCACGCCUGUAAUCCCAGUACUUCUGGGAGGCCAAGGGGGGCGGAUGACUUGAGGCCGUGCAACACCUGCCAGCACCAGCAUUUGACACGGAAUCGAAGAAAACAGGCAGGACAUACCCUGACUACACUAGUACAAGUCAUCGGCGUCUCGGGGUCCUGGGUUUUAGAAAUCACACUGUCAGGGAGGGCUGAUGGGGUCCUGGGUUGGAGGCUGGAAGUGGAGGAAUCGAGGCAUAGGCAGAAACUUGAAGGAAGGGUCAGCCGAGCUGGCCAGAAGGGGGCUCCUCGCCACGGUCCCCAGGGAAGCACUUUGCUCAUGGGCCCCGGCCCUGAGAGAGGAGCUCCUGCCUCUUCCCACUCGGAGAGGGCUGACAGGAGAGGCUUGGCCUGGUGUUUCCUGAUGAGAUAGCGGGCACGUUCCGGGAAGCGGUGAGCAGGCCCAGCAGACAUCAGAUGUGGUGCUUCCUGUCUCCUGUGAAUGCGCCUGGCCCUUGAGGGGGGUCUGGGAUGGAGAGUCGGGGGAGGGGAACCCCACUCGCCCUUCUCCUUGUUGUUCUUGGCAGCUGGACUUGGGCAAUUGUGCCUCCACCCUCUGGAGGGGCCUCCCCCUGUGCUGGCUGCAGAUCAGAGGGGCGAUGGGGAGGGAUCCACCGGUCCAGGCGGGGGCUCACCUUCCAGACCCGGGCGUGGGCGAGAGGGGUGCAUGGGAGGACGCCCGAUGCCUCAGGGCCCCCGGUCAGCAGCGAGGCACAGACUCUCCUCUGGGCGGUGAUGGCCCUGCACGAGGUCCGUGUGCCGUCUGCCUGCACAGGGAGAGGAAAGGAUCACGCGACCAUGGGUACGUUGGCCACCUGAAGGUUGAGUCCCGCAGCCUAGAGACUGGAGCGUGGGGACCAGGAGGAGCUUCUUAGCGGAACUGGGCUGGGGCUCAUGCAGCCCUCCAGGAGCCCCCGACGCGACGCCCUGGCUCAUCCCGGGUGAAGAGGCUGCUGAGUCUGAACUGAUGACAGUGGACGGGUGGCCGCCGGUUCCCAACGCAUGGUUGGGCCUGGAACCCAGGUGACUCUGGGAGAUGUGGUCACAGUCACAGCCGUCUGUGGGCCUUUGGGUUCAAAACAGCGCGAGUCACAGGAGACAGAAGGGAAUCUGAGCUUGCGAUUGCUCAUUCUUGUCACCCUCCUGGCUCUGGGACACCUCUGCCAUCUCCUACCAAGGGUACCCCAUUCCUGGCGAGUUGGAAAGUGGCCUCAUGGGCAGAAAACGAGGGCAAAGGGAGCUGCGUGCUGUGAGAGACGUCCCCGCACCCACCCUCCCCACCAGCUCCCUUGGGCCUUUCCUCCCUCCCAGCCCCACCCACAGCCGGGUGGCUCCCUUCACUGUCUCUCCUGGGUUUAACUCAGAGGCUGGCGAGCAGGGGCUGACCAGUGUGUGUCGGAGACUCUCCGAGUGGCCAGCACGGGCAGGGAGCUCAUAGGCUUGGCCCUGAGACCAGGUCCUGUCUGAGAAGGAGGCAGGUCCUGUCUGAGAAGAAGGACCCCCACCCCUCCUGCCUGGGACCCUGCCUUAGGCUCACUCUAAUGACCUAAUUUCAAUUUGAUUGAAUGCAAAUCUGAAUUUGCUAGAAGACCUGAUUUCAUCUUUCCGGGUUCAGUAAACAUGACAUUCUCCGUGGGGGUUUAUUUGUGGAACUCCCAGUCAGAGCUGCUGCCCCAGCCCAGCAGGGCUCAGCGACGUGCACUGGUUUUAGGAGUAAAUCCGAAGCAACAGAAGCGUUCGCACUGGCUCUGGGUGCAGCCUGCAUCUUCAGCCCUGGGGCACUGAUGCUGGGCAGCUUCUCGGCUUCACUCGGGAAGGGACUCAGGAGCGAGGUGGUGGGGAAGCCAGCAGCUUGGCUGAGGCGGCAGUGGAGGUGGUCCAGCUCCGCGACUGCUCCCACAGAGCAGGGCUGCCGCUCGGGCAGUGUGCAGAGUGCAGCCGCUUGGGGCCAACUUGCCAUCAUAUGUAUAACCACUUUUAAUGACAUGCUAAUUAGGGGGCGGGUUAUUCAGAUAUAGCUGGAGGAUGGGCAGUUGCUUCCAGGUGUUGCCAAGGCAGUGAGAGCAACGGGAACUGCCCUUGGCGCCUCUUCCAGCUUUGGCCUGUCUUUGGUCGGGUCCGGGGACCAGGCUUGCCUACCACGUUUUCUGUGUCAAAACAGUCACGCAGAAAUAAACAGUGACAGCACUGUGAUGAGAAAAGCGAAGAAACAACUUAUUUCAACUUUCUGACUUUUGUUGUGGCCUCAGCACUUUUGUUUGUGCUUAACAUUGAAAACAGUGAGGCAGUGUAAACUGUGAGAUGUGAUUUUUCAUUUGGUAAGUGCAAAUUUUAGUUCAUUCAUGAAACCAGUUUUGAAGAUCUUUAAAAUAGAAUUUAGUCGACCUUAAGAAUUGUUAAUUGUUUACAACUAAAGACCAAAAAUCCAAGAGAAUAAAGCGUUGCACCAGUGGUAGGGGUUUGUAGUUGCCUAAAUUGUACCUUUUACAGAUGUUUCAUUUUAUUAAAACUCACUAGUCACUGGAUCUUCUAUUCAACAUGGUGAUGGGAUGAAAUUAUGUAUGACAACUGUGCUCCCUGAAAAGACAUGUUUGCGUCUGAUCCCCUGGGGUCUGUGAAUGUGGCCGUAUUUGGAAACAGGGUCUCUGUAGACAUAAUCAAGUUAGGAUGACAUCAUGAGGACAGGCCCUAAUCCAGUAUGACUGGUGUCUUUCCGAGAAGAAAACAGAGACACAGAGGGCGAGACCCACGUGAAGGCAGAGGCAGAGAUUGCAGCACUGUGGCCAAAGGCCAGGAGUGUCCAAACCACCAGAAGCUGAAAGAGGCAGGGCAGGGUCCCCCGAGAGUGGUCGUGGGGAGCUCCCUCAGGCAGAUACCUCGCGGUCCUGCAACUCCUCGAUCGCAGACUCUGGGCUCCAGAGCUGUGAGACAGUUCAAUUCUGUUGUUUUAAGCCACCUUGUUUGUGGUCAUUUGUGCCAGCAGCCCCAGGACGGUCACACGUGCACCAUUCACUGCUGUAUUGGGUUAGACCCUUGCACUGAGGGCUUUGGGAACCUGACUGGGUUGGCUGCUGGACAGGGGACUGUGAGGGCUGCGGGGGGUGUCGGCGCAGGAGUGGAAGGUGCCCCUGCUGGGAUGGGGGUCCCUCUGUCCCCUUCUCCUUCUGGAGAGAGGGCCCUCAUGGGGCUGCCCAGGACACAGAGCUACUUGUAAAAUCCUGCCCCCAUUCCAGCCUGGGGCUCCUGCUGGGGGCAGGGUCCAGGAGCUUCGGGACAACAUAUGGACUCAGGGCCCGAGGUGGCCUUUAUGAUAUCCAGGUCUCAAAGGAGGGGAUCCCGGGGAGCUUGGGAUGCGGCUCAUCCCCAGCCUGAGUCUUCUUCCUUCACUGUCACCUGUUGCCCCUCUGGGAGCUGCCGUUGAGAAUGAGGAACGUUCCAGGUGGUCUGUGCCAGCAACACCACUGCAGGCUCGGGGGCGGGGGGAGACGGGCACGGAGUGUCACACACAGGUGCUGGACAGGAAGUGGGCUGAGGGCCAGCGCAGGAGGUGGGGGGCAGACAGGGAGGGGGCGUUGCCCAGGUGCUGGACGGGAAAUGGGCUGAGGGCAAGUGCAGGAGGUGGGGGGCAGACGGGGAGGGGGCAUUGCACAGGUGCUGGACGGGAAAUGGGCUGAGGGCAAGCGCAGGAGGUGGGGGGCAGACGGGGAGGGGGUGUUGCACAGGUGCUGGACGGGAAAUGGGCUGAGGGCAAGUGCAGGAGGUGGGGUGCAGACGGGGAGGGGGCGUUGCACGGGUGCUGGACAGGAAGUGGGCUGAGGGCAAGUGCAGGGGGUGGAGUGGCCACUGGACCUGGCUGACCAGAGCAGAGAAGGUCUAUGAAGAGAGAUGGGAGAGGAAGAUGCAGAAGGAUUUAAAAAUAGGGCUUUGUAAUUUUCAAACAGCAUACAGUAUGCUAUGAAAGAAAGGUUAGAAAAAUUUUUUAAAGUUAGCUAAAAUCCCAUCACCUGGAGAUAAACACAGAUGACAUUUUAAAGUUGCACCCGAGUUAAACAGUGGCUCUGAGCAUCCUCAGAAGAUGAGGCACUCUCUAGUUUUCUGAGUGGGGAGUUUAGUGACGAAGCUGUUGCUUCGGGAGGAGGACGAGGGCAGUGUGGGCACUGGUGGGCGUAGGGGGGACGGGGCUCUGGGUGAGGACAAGCAGAGGGAGGCUCACAGUGCCACAGGCAGGUCCCAGCCUCUGCCUUCAGGACAGACCAGACCCCUCAGCCUCUGAACUGUGUUCGGGCAAACGGGAUUACGACUCUGAGUGACUGGAAGGCCCCGCUUGGUGCUGAGUGCACUGGCACCCAUGUUAUGUCUGUGGCACAAGCGCUCGAUGAGGUCUGCACGAUCACUGCAGAUGAUCACUGCACCAUCAUUCCUCGCUGCACGAUCCUUCCUCGCUGCACGAUCCUUCCUCGCUGCAGGAUCCUUCCUCGCUGCACGAUCAUUCCUGGUUGCACGAUCCUUCCUCGCUGCACGAUCCUUCCUCGCUGCAUGAUGAUUCCUUGCUGCACGAUCCUUCCUCACUGCACGAUCCUUCCUCGCUGCACGAUCAGUCCUCGCUGCAGGAUCAGUCCUCACUGCACGAUCCUUCCUCGCUGCAUGAUCCUUCCUCACUGCAUGAUGAUUCCUUGCUGCACGAUCCUUCCUCACAGCACGAUCCUUCCUCGCUGCACCAUCCUUCCUCGCUGCACGAUCCUUCCUCGCUGCACGAUCCUUCCUCGCUGCACGAUCCUUCCUCGCUGCACGAUCCUUCCUCGCUGCAUGAUCCUUCCUUGCUGCACAAUCAUUCCUCGCUGCACCAUUAUUCCUCACUGCACAAGGGAGGAAACUAUAGCACAGGGAGGGUGAGCCACUCGCCCAGGGCCACAUAGCUGUGAGGGGAGAACUAGGAAUUCUCAUCCAGCCUUCAGGAAAAUUACAUGUGGACUGGAUGUGACGGAUCUUGAGCCACGCUGACAAUUGAGUCCCUGUCCCUCAGUGGGUUUCAGAAGAGAGGCCUCCCCUCUCCCACAUCCCAGGAGCUCAGAGGCCCUGGGAUGGGCCGACAGUUCUUGGCCAGGUGGCUGCUCCUGCGGUCACAGCACUUGGAGGUGCUGGCCUGCGUGCAGACGCCCCCUGUGCCUGUGGGGUCCUCUCCGGGCCUGGCCUGGCCUCAGUCCCACUGGCCACCCUCGCUCGGGGAUCGCUAGGGGUCCUUGGACCUCAGACCAUGCAGGGCCUCCCUUUGCAGAACAGGAAAAUAGGACGGCCACCCUCAGGCCACCGUCCAUGAGCAUCACAGGGGCAGGUUCUUAUCUCUGGGCUGGACGUGUCAAGGCUGGGCUUGGGGGCCAGAAGCUUCCCAGCAGGCCUCCCACUGGCCACAAGACACAAGCAGCCCCUCAGCCCUGCAGCCACGUCCUCUCUGACAGGGCCCCUCUUGCCCCAAGCCCAGCCGGGCCACCGUGGCCAGCUCCACACACACAUCUGGCUGAGCACUCACACCAGGCUGCGGGGUGGUGUCACGGCCCAGGAAUGCAGGAAGACGUCUGGGGCUCUGGCAGAGAGGCAUGGCCAUGCGCCAAGAAUGUGCCUUGUAGAGACAUAAUUAUGCAUUGGGGGAAUACGGCGUAACAAACCCGGUGGAUGCCACCGACUCCACUUACUUUACUGAGAGCUGAGAGGACAGCAAAGUGCGGCACUGACCCUCAGGAGGGGAGGGCGCUGGCUGGUGCCCACCGUCCUGCAGAGGACUGAGGGAUGCGUGGGCAUGGGUGGGCACAACCGUGGGGGCGCUGGCCUGGGGGAGGAGGAAGGAGGCCGGGCGAGGGCGUGGGCAGCGCUGUCCUGGCUGAUGGCUGAGGAGCCAGGGCGCGGCCGCAAGUGCGUGGCAGCGUGGCAGGGCGGCUGAACGACCCCAUUGUGUGGAGUGAGGCCGAAAGGCCAAGUGGGACGGGCAGGGAAAGAAGCACAUUUCAUAACUUCAGUCCACUGUGAGAGGACUGCCUGCCCCUUUUAGAAAACUUGGAAAUCACAGCAAGUCUCCAGCAGGGAAACAACGCCAUGGGGGAGGGGUCUUAUCUCUGGGCUGCGCUAUCUCCCCACCCAAAGACCACGUCAGCCUUCCGGGCAUUUCUUUCAGAAUUUUAAGCCACAUGUCUGUGUGUGUCUCUCUGUGCGUACAAACACGUCUGUUUAUGUGUGUCCUCACAUCGCUGGGGUCAUGUUGUAUGUGUUGUAAAAAUUACUUUUUAACUUGUGUAAUAUGUGUAUAUAUAUAUAACAAACCCUACCGUCUUAACUGUUUUUGAAUCUACAGCUUGGUGGCAUGAAAUACAUUCAUAUUAACUGUAACUGUCAAUUUCCAGAUGUUUUAUCUUCCCGAGCCGAAACUCUGUCCCCAUUAAACACGAACUUCCCAGUCCCCCUCCCCCAGCACCCACCGUUCUGUUUCUGCCUCUAUGAAGCUGACAACCCAGGGACCGCGUACGAGUGGAAUCAGCAGGAUUUGCCCUUAUGUGUCCGGUUAUUUCCCUCGGCACAGUGUCCUCAGGGUUCAUCCGUGUCACAGCAAGCGUCUGACUUUCCUUCCUCUUCCAGGCUGGGUCACAGCCCUUCAUGUGGAUGGACCACGUUUUAUUCACUCAUCUGGCAACGGUCCUUCUGGCUGUUGUGAAUAACGUGGCUGUGAACGUAUACGUCUUGUUCUGUUCAAAGCAAAACACACAUUUUCAUUCUUUCAAAACUGUCCUUAUGUUUCCUGUGGAAUGCCCUGGACUCAGGGUUUGGGGGAGCCGGUCAUUAUAUCACACCCGGGGUUUUCGCUGGAAAGAGCCUCAAGCCGUAUGUGCUCUCCCGACGCCAUCCUCCCCACAGUUGGCUGUUGAGAAUUUUUUCUCUUUGGAGGACUGUGGGGUCUCUCUAGCCUGGCCAUCCUGAGUCCAAGUUUCUUUUCCCUGACAACAGACAAAUGAGCGAGUAGCCCUCUCAGUCCACGAGCUGACCCUUCAGAGGCUGGGGUUGCAAACCCUGAUCCUUGGUGGGCUGGGGUCGGCCUCUGGGAGCCCCUCCUUCAGAGUGAGGGGCUGGUGCAGGUUUUCUUUUCUCCUCACUGAGAGUUUUUUCUGCUGCCUGAGAGAAGAGGGUGAAGGCUCCCGGUAAAGAGGAUGGGGUGCAGGCUCCUGAGCCCACCGACAGCCCCGUCCAGCGCUGACCUGUGGGAAAACGGCCUCUUGGCAGGGCUGUGGCCAGGCAGAAUAUUGAAGCGAAGGAGCCCGACAGUAGCCGCUCUCUCAGGGUCUAAGGCAACAGAGAGCUCCCAGGUGUGGCCGCAAGACUGGCAGCAGAAAGGCACUUUUGUAAGAAGAGGGAUGGGAGAAGCACAGAGGUGGACCUGGAAAAGUCAAAGGGAAGCUGUGGGUGGAAGCUCCGGAUGGCUGACCCCGAGUUCCAGCUCAAAGAACAGAGAUGGGUGGGGUGGGAAACACAGCGGAAAGAGCGGCCCGUGAACGAGGGUCCUCGGCAGCAGGACCGCCCUCCUCACGGACAGAUGGCAAGUGCUGGGGAGGCGGGGGAGGAACCAGCCUGUCACCACCGGCGGGAACGUGGGCGGGCGCAGCCACUGCAAAACAGCCGGUCACUCCUCAGAUAACAGGCGCGGACUUCCCACACGACCCAGCAAUCCACGCCUAGAUGUAGCCAAAGAGAAGCAGAAACACGUCCCCCGUAACACGUGUACCUGGUGUUAUUCAUAACAGCGAAAAAGUGGAAACAGCCCCAAGUUCAUCAACAGACAAGAAAAUGUGGUACAUCUACCAGGCGCGGUGGCUCACGCUUUAAUCCCAGCACUUUGGGAGGCCGAGGCAGGCGGAUCACCUGAGGUCAGGAGAUCGAGACCAUCCUGGCCAACAUGAUGAAACCCCGUCUCUACUAAAAAUACAAAAAUUAGCUGAGUGUGGUGGCGGGCGCCUGUCAUCCCAGGUACUCGGGAGGCUGAGGCAGGAGAAUCGCUUGAACUCAGGAGGCGGAGGUUGCAGUGAGCCGAGAUCGCGCCACUGCACUCCAGAAUGGGCGACAGAGCGAGACUCUGCCUCAAAAAGAAAAAAAAAAGUGGUAUAUCUGUGCAGUGUGCUAUUAUGUGAAAAUAAAAAGGAAUGAAGCCCUGUCAUAUGACAACAUGGAUGAGCCGUGAAAAGAUCAUGCUCAGUGAAAGAAGCCACACACAGAAGGCCGCGUAGUGUAUGAUUCCAUUUAUACGAAGAGGCAUUUUUUCCUCAAUGAAGCUGUUUGAAAAAGAAAAAGGGAAAGAGAGGAAGAGAGAGAGGUGCCAGUUGGGGAGGAAAAGAGGAAGAGGAACCUUGUAGAGCAGAGUGCAGGUAGAACUGCAACUGAAAACAGGAACCUGCGGUGCAAACGGCACAGCGUGCACCGUGCUGCCUGUGCGCUCCCCUGUGCGCUCCCCUGUGCGCUGCCCUGUGCGCUGCCCUGUGCGCUCCCCUGUGCGCUCCCCUGUGCGCUGCCCUGUGCGCUUCCCUGU